CUCCCUCUUCCCCGACCUCCGGGACCCUCCCUUUCGCCCCGGCUCCCCGGGCCCCCACGGGGGGCGUCUCGACGCUGUGCGGCCGCCGAGUUUCGGUUGUUCCAGAAGAAACCUGGGAAACAAAAGACUAUGUUUGGAACACGAUGUGGAGAAAGCCAGAACUUAUUCAAACACUUCAGCAGCUGCAAAUUUCAAGAGCCUACUGUACUGAAGGCUGUUCUGCAGUUACAUUCCCCUCUGGGAGACAGUAAACUGGCCUUUCAGUUUGUACAUCAGCAUCUGGUGAUCUUGGUUAAUGUGAAUCAGUCCCCCUAGACCUGACCACUCCUGCACAAACUAAUAAAC
This 345-nucleotide long non-coding RNA is filed under the name Homo sapiens (human). RNAcentral's name for it is "PREDICTED lncRNA (TCONS_00224946)". Lineage: Eukaryota; Metazoa; Chordata; Mammalia; Primates; Hominidae. The record is from RNAcentral.